AGCGCGGCGCACGGCUCAGUAACAUGUGGUUAACCUACCCUCAGGACGGGGAUACCCUCGGGAAACUGAGGCUAAUCCCAGAUAGAUGAGGGAUCCUGGAAUGGUUCCUCAUCGAAAAGGCACGCAUAUCAUGCUAUGCGUGUCGCCUGAGGAUGGGACCGCAUCCUAUCAGGUAGUUGGUGGGGUAACGGCCCACCAAGCCUAUAACGGGUACGGGCCCUGAGAGGGGGAGCCCGGAGAUGGGUACUGAGACAAGGACCCAGGCCCUACGGGGCGCAGCAGGCGCGAAACCUCCGCAAUGCGCGAAAGCGCGACGGGGCCACCCCGAGUGCCAUCCGCUGAGGGUGGCUUUUCCCUAGUGUAGUAAGCUAGGGGAAUAAGCGGGGGGCAAGUCUGGUGUCAGCCGCCGCGGUAAUACCAGCUCCGCGAGUGGUCGGGACGAUUAUUGGGCCUAAAGCGUCCGUAGCCGGCCUAACAAGUCUCUGGUUAAAUCUCAAGGCUUAACCUUGAGAUCGCUGGAGAUACUGUUAGGCUAGGGGGCGGGAGAGGUUGAGGGUACUUCGCGGGUAGGGGCGAAAUCCUAUAAUCCGCGAAGGACCACCAGUGGCGAAGGCGCUCAACUGGAACGCGCCCGACGGUGAGGGACGAAAGCUAGGGGAGCAAAGGGGAUUAGAUACCCCCGUAGUCCUAGCCGUAAACGAUGCGGGCUAGUGGUUGGGUUGGCUUCGUGCCAACCCAGUGCCGCAGCGAAGGCGAUAAGCCC
Molecule: ribosomal RNA, 763 nt
Filed under: uncultured archaeon
Lineage: Archaea
Description: bacterial SSU rRNA
Rfam family: Archaeal small subunit ribosomal RNA
Source: RNAcentral